GUCGCGCCGCAUUUUUAAAAUUCUUUAUAGCGUUAUCCAUUUUUUUUUUUUUUCCGGAAUAAUUUGACAGGUUGGCAAAUCGAUAAUAAUAUGUUUGGAUGUAGGCAAUGAUUAAUUUUUUACCGAUACGGAAUAUAGGAGUUUACUAUGAUGUCUAUGUUUUUUUUUUUUUUUUUUUAUUUAAUGUUUACGUCUGAAAAACAUAAAAAAACAUCCAGCACUCGGCGCAACGGUCGGCGGUGAAAUAUUUUAUGGCGGAAUUUCCAGCGGUGAAACGGCUGCGAUGGCGACGUGGCUGUCCUGGACCCGAAAAAA
Molecule: non-coding RNA, 315 nt
Organism: Cinara cedri
Lineage: Eukaryota; Metazoa; Arthropoda; Insecta; Hemiptera; Aphididae
Source: the annotation of a GenBank genome assembly